Molecule: small nucleolar RNA, 85 nt
Organism: Cynara cardunculus var. scolymus (artichoke)
Lineage: Eukaryota; Viridiplantae; Streptophyta; Magnoliopsida; Asterales; Asteraceae
Product: small nucleolar RNA U61
Exons: 1
Source: RefSeq, a predicted model, not a curated record
UCGCUAUGAGGAAAACGUAAAUGCUCCAGAAACAGGAUCUAAUCCUGUCGCUGAUGGUAGCAAACCUCUAAGAAGUUCUGAGCGA